Molecule: transfer RNA, 87 nt
Filed under: bacterium
Lineage: Bacteria
Description: tRNA-Ser
Rfam family: tRNA
About the family: Transfer RNA (tRNA) molecules are approximately 80 nucleotides in length. Their secondary structure includes four short double-helical elements and three loops (D, anti-codon, and T loops). Further hydrogen bonds mediate the characteristic L-shaped molecular structure. tRNAs have two regions of fundamental functional importance: the anti-codon, which is responsible for specific mRNA codon recognition, and the 3' end, to which the tRNAs corresponding amino acid is attached (by aminoacyl-tRNA synthetases). tRNAs cope with the degeneracy of the genetic code in two manners: having more than one tRNA (with a specific anti-codon) for a particular amino acid; and 'wobble' base-pairing, i.e. permitting non-standard base-pairing at the 3rd anti-codon position.
Source: RNAcentral
GGAGAGGUGUCCGAGUGGUUUAAGGGUCUGACCUGGAAAGUCAGUGUGCUCGCAAGGGUACCGGGGGUUCGAAUCCCCCCCUCUCCG